RNAcentral lists this long non-coding RNA (1227 nucleotides) under Equus asinus (donkey). RNAcentral's name for it is "lncRNA (ENSEASG00005026804.1)". The record is from RNAcentral. Lineage: Eukaryota; Metazoa; Chordata; Mammalia; Perissodactyla; Equidae.
CUGGAUUCCCAAUUCUAUUUCAUUGAUCUAUAUGUCUCUCCUUAUGCCUGGGCACACUGUCUUGAUUAUUGUAGCUUUGUAGGAUGCUUUGAGAUUGGGAAGUAGGAAUCAUCUACCUUUGUUCUUUUUUUCCUCAAGAUUAUCUUGGUUAUUCUGGGUCCCUUGCAUUCCUGUAUAAAUUUUAGACCCAGCCUGUCAAUUUCUGCAGAGAAGCCCCCUGGGAUUUUGAUAGGGAUUGCACUGAAUGCCCCCUAACAACAUUAUGUCUUCUGAUCCAUGAACACAAAUGUCUUUCCACUUAUGUAGAUCUUCUUUAACUUUUUUCAACAUGUUUUGCAGUUUUGGCUUGUAUUUGUGCAACUUGUAUAUGUGCAACGUGCCUGCACACGCAUGAUGCUCCCCGACAUAAGUGCUUUAAGGGGAAAUACAAUUUAAUUUCACAACAUGGUGGCCGUACCCACGCUGAUGCUCAGAGUUCGCUUAUCUAGGGAGGUUUAGCACAGGCUGAACAGCGGGCCCAGUAUGCCAAGGACUUCUGUGCCUGGACUUGCAGAAGAACCAUGGGUAGGCAAUUGAGUCCUUGCAGGCCAGCCUGGAGGCAGAGGCCAAAGGCUGGGCAGAGGCAAUUUGGCUGAAGAAGAAGAUGGAAACGGACCUGAAUGAGAUGGAAAUCCAGCUGGACCACGCCAAGAACAGCGAACUUGUGAAGACACCGAAAAGGCUGCAACAGCAAAUCAAGGUAGUGAUCUGGGAGAAGGAAGAACUAAAUCCAAAAGCAAGCCAUCCCGAGUCUGCGGGCUCACAGGGAGCCAACUCCACGCACGUCUUCAGCUAGCAUGAGAGUGAGAAUGCGGGCCAGCUGGCAGUCCAGGGAGCAGGAGACUUGGGGACUGAAUAAAUGAGAGGCCCCAACCACCAAAGUCCACAUCCUGGACCACUGUGAAGAGGGAAGAAAGGAGGGAAACAGGAAGUUGGGCCUGUCUUGAUUUUUAAAAUCACUUUUGACUUUUAUAAAUGAUUUCAGACAUAGAAAAAUGAACACAACAAAAAGCCAUGUACCCACCACUCACCUUAAGAAAUACACAUGAGUAGAGUUGAAGUCCCCCUUUCUUGGUUUCUGCCAUCGGGCGGUCUUUAAAGCACACGUAGUUGGAUCUAUGCAUUCAACACUUGUUUACUGGAGACCUGCCCUGUCCAGUCACUGUAUUAGGAGCUAGUGGUACGAGA